GUGUCAGCCGCCGCGGUAAAACGUAGGACACAAGCGUUAUCCGGAAUUACUGGGCGUAAAGCGCAUGCAGGCGGAUUACCAAGUCAUGUGUGAAAGCUCCCGGCUAAACUGGGAGAGGACGGAUGAGACUGGUAGUCUGGAGGGUGGUAGAGGCGUGUGGAAUUCCGCGUGUAGUGGUGAAAUGCGUAGAGAUGCGGAGGAACACCAGUGGCGAAGGCGGCACGCUGGGCCAUACCUGACGCUGAGAUGCGAAAGCAUGGGGAGCGAACGGGAUUAGAAACCCCAGUAGUCC
Molecule: ribosomal RNA, 292 nt
Filed under: uncultured bacterium
Lineage: Bacteria
Description: partial 16S ribosomal RNA
Rfam family: Bacterial small subunit ribosomal RNA
Source: RNAcentral